Long non-coding RNA from Oreochromis aureus, 410 nucleotides. The record is from Ensembl. NCBI's taxonomy places the organism in Eukaryota, Metazoa, Chordata, Actinopteri, Cichliformes, Cichlidae.
CCCUAGCCCUGCCAGUGUAGCAGAAAUGAUAACUGAUGAUGAUGAUGGCAGCAGCACCCGUUCUUCUCUGGAUACUCCCUUCACCCUGGCCAAAAAGGCUAAAAUGACCAAAGAAAAAGUGGACGAAAUUCAUAGGGCAGUGACAAAAUUUAUAGUCAAAGAUCUCCAUCCAUUUUCAACGGUGGAGUCACCAUCAUUCAGGGAGAUGUCCACUGCCCUUAAUCCAAGGUAUCAGCCCCCAUCGAGGGAUGAUCUAUCCAACACACUUGUACCUGCUUGGUAUUGCGUGGAGAAAAGCAACCUCAUCCAGAAUUUGGCACAGGUUAACAAGGUCGCUAUCACCUGUGAUGGAUGGACCAGUAUUGCUCAGGACCAUUUCCUCACAGUGACUGUUCACUACAUCUACAAAG